Molecule: ribosomal RNA, 492 nt
Filed under: uncultured bacterium
Lineage: Bacteria
Description: partial 16S ribosomal RNA
Rfam family: Bacterial small subunit ribosomal RNA
Source: RNAcentral
AUUGAACGCUGGCGGCAUGCUUUACACAUGCAAGUCGAACGGUAACAGCCUUUCGUUUGCUGACGCGUGGCGGACGGGUGGGUAAUGCAUCGGAACGUACCCAGCGGUUGGGUUUAGCGCAGCUUAAGCUGUGCUAGUACAGCAUGUGAUCUGAGUUUGAAAGCGGGGGUCCGGGCAGCAAUGUUUGGCCUCUCGCCUUUGGAGCCGCCGAUGUCGGAUUAGUUAGUUGGUGGGGUAAUGGCCUACCCAGGGGACGAUCGGUAGCUGGUCUGAGAUGACGAUCAGCCACACUGGAAGUGAGACACGGACCAGAGGCCUACGGGAGGCAGCAAUGGGGAAUUUUGGACAAUGGGCGCAAGCCUGAUCCAGCAAUGCCGCGUGCGGGAAGAAGGCCUUCGGGUUGUAAACCGCUUUUGGCAGGAACGAAACGGUGUCCGCUAAUACCGGGCGCUAAUGACGGUACCUGCAGAAUAAGCACCGGCUAACUACGUG